Molecule: ribosomal RNA, 798 nt
Filed under: Triticum aestivum (bread wheat)
Lineage: Eukaryota; Viridiplantae; Streptophyta; Magnoliopsida; Poales; Poaceae
Description: partial small subunit ribosomal RNA
Source: RNAcentral
AUGACCAUCAUCCAGAACAAAUACCUUCGAGGACAGCCUCUUGCUUUCUGUCAGCGCUCGGGCGGCUCCCAGUUUUGGCAGGCCGUCGUCCAGCUGCUUCCUGUGCUUCGCAUUGGCACAUCCAUCUCGGUUGGUACCGGGUCCACGACCCUGUUCUGGUUUGAUCGGUGGAUUGGUGACGCUCCCCUGGCCGCGUGAUUUUCGGAGCUCUUCGCCAUUGCAGUUGACCCUCGUGUCUCUGUCGAGACGGCCCUUAUUGACUUAGGGCGCCUUGAUUUCCGCCGCCCCUUUGGCCCACCUGAAGUAUAGCCGCUUGGGAUGCCCUCCUUCAGGACAUCGCCCCUCCUCCCUAUGGACGUCGCCGACACCCCGAACGCCAUCUCUUGGCGUCUGGAACCUUUCGGCUGCUUCUCCACCAAAUCCCUCUACGCGGGCAUCGCCCCCUCGACGGCCCUCGAGCCCUUUAGUUUGAUUUGGGACAUCUGCCUGCCCCUGAAGAUCAGGAUCUUCAUGUGGCAAUGGAUCCGAGGCCGCCUCCCGUCCGGCGUGGAGGUCCUUAAGCGUAAUGGACCUGGUGAUGGGAUGUGCCCCAUGUGCGGUACGGUGCAGGAUGCUAACCACAUCUUCUUCUCGUGCUCCACGGCUCGGUUCCUUUGGUCCUGUUUCCGCGAGACGGUUGGGGGUCAAUGGUGCAACACCAACUUCCCAGACCUGCUUGCGGAAAUUCAAGCCUCCCCCCUGCAGGAAAUAUGCCCUAGAGGCAAUAAUAAAGUUAUUAUUUAUUUCCUUAUAUCAUGA